CAUGCAAGUCGAACGAGCUCUUAGGAGCUAGUGGCGGACGGGUGAGUAACACGUGAGAAUCUGCCUCAAGGUCGGGGACAACAGUUGGAAACGACUGCUAAUACCCGAUAUGCCUAAGGGUGAAAGAUUUAUUGCCUAGAGAAGAGCUCGCGUCCGAUUAGCUAGUUGGUAGAGUAAAAGCCUACCAAGGCGACGAUCGGUAGCUGGUCUGAGAGGAUGAGCAGCCACACUGGGACUGAGACACGGCCCAGACUCCUACGGGAGGCAGCAGUGGGGAAUUUUCCGCAAUGGGCGAAAGCCUGACGGAGCAAUACCGCGUGAGGGAGGGAGGCUUUUGGGUUGUAAACCUCUUUUGUCAGGGAAGAAAAUUUGACGGUACCUGAAGAAAAAGCAUCGGCUAACUCCGUGCCAGCAGCCGCGGUAAUACGGAGGAUGCAAGCGUUAUCCGGAAUAAUUGGGCGUAAAGGGUCCGCAGGUGGCCAUUCAAGUCUGCUGUCAAAGACCGUGGCUCAACCACGGAAAGGCAGUGGAAACUGUUUAGCUAGAGUACGGUAGGGGUAGAGGGAAUUCCCAGUGUAGCGGUGAAAUGCGUAGAUAUUGGGAAGAACACCGGUGGCGAAAGCGCUCUACUGGGCCGAAACUGACA
Molecule: ribosomal RNA, 646 nt
Filed under: uncultured bacterium
Lineage: Bacteria
Description: bacterial SSU rRNA
Rfam family: Bacterial small subunit ribosomal RNA
Source: RNAcentral